AUGUGGCUUCCUCUAGCCUUUCCACACUCUUUUCGAGGACCCCCCAAAAACAAUCGACGAAAGAAGUAAACAACUCCAAGCAUCAUCCUAUUCGCCGAAAGGUACUCCCUAGUUUUAGCUACAUCAACUCAAACACGGACCUAUUUCCACACACGAGUUGAUACCGUUGAUUGGGGCGGGCUAAAGUGUAGAGAUACACGUCGCUUUAUCCGUUAUGGCACUGUACAACCUAACUGCACUGUGUGGCAGUUUUCAGUUGCGCACCAGUGACAAAUAAGGCUGCUCGCCAGAAACCCAAGUGCUGUAGCUAAGCUACUCUGUUGCACUGGCUGUGAAAAGUACCAAUCCUCAGCAGACCAGGGCUUCAAAGCAGAUCUCAAAUGAGACCGGGUAAGUGUUAAAGACAGACUUGUCAGUGCUGAUGGAGGAAAAGAGAUGUGCCGUGAAAUAACACUGUCUACCUGUGAAUCAUAGACUGCCUGCUGAAAUUGGCAAAAGCUUUUCAUCACGAUUUUACACUCCUCCCUCACAAUCCACCAGUGUAGUGAUAUUGUGUUAUUACAGAUUUCCGCACUCUGUACUAUCCACUGAGAAUCAAUCCCCACAUCUUUACUCACUGUCCUAUUUUGCUGAGUGUGUCUUGCUUCAUGAAGGCUUCCUUACAAACAAGAGAAAUGAGAGAGGGGGUGAAGAGAUGAGAUAGAGAGGGUGAGGGGUUAGAGGAG
Oncorhynchus tshawytscha (Chinook salmon) is the source of this 725-nucleotide long non-coding RNA. Lineage: Eukaryota; Metazoa; Chordata; Actinopteri; Salmoniformes; Salmonidae. The record is from Ensembl.